GUACUAAUGAACAAGGGCUUAGGAGUCAGGAGGCGGGGUUCAAAUCCUUGCUCAGCUACUAUGUGACCUUGGCCAACUUCCUUCCAUGGCUCUCCAUUUCCUCAUCUAUCAAACAAAGAUUGUACAAACAAGUCCAACAAACCCACCAUUAUGCCCAUCCUGGCCCAUGAAAGCAAGCCCUCUGCUCUAGCCAAAAUUGGAAUCAUCAGCCUGAGACCCUGCUCCCCCUCCUAUGGCCCUAUCCUAUCCUGAUCAGACUGCACUAGAAUUCUCCCUGGUUCUGAGCUCUGCACUUCUUACCCUGUCCCGGAUGACUGCUCUUCCACCCCCUGAUUUCUCCGUCCUCCUGAUUUUCCUGAGGAGAUGGACCAGCUCUUUGGAGCUGGGGUAUGGGAUCCUCUCUGGCAGCGUGCUGCAGGACAAAGGUGGCUUCAACAGAAGUGCAGGGAAAACAAUUGUUACCAGAGGAAAGAAUUCUAAUUCUCAUGGAGCAAAACCUGUGACCUGGCUCUGCUGAGCUGCAAUGGAAGCUGGGAAAAGGGAGUAUCUCACUCAACCUGGUUCUGUGGCUUCCAAACAAACCUGCUUUGACAAUCAAGGAGGAAAGGAAUCAUGAAUAUUGGCUGGGACUGUAGAGAACACUAUCUAUCUAUCAAGGCUGACAAGUCAAUUGUGAGAAUCAUUCCACCAGGUCUCUAUAAAAAUAUCCGGUGUGAGAACUUUUCAAAGAGAAUUCUUCAAAACUCAAAUCAGCCUGAGGAUCUGGGUCAUGGUGUUUGGGUGACGCGGAGAGGAAGCAGGGAGAGAGGCUGUGGGGAGAGGCCCUGCCCAACAGCCCAGGGAGCUUCCGCUGUUGUUCUGCGCCCUUCCCACGACCUGCUCCGACGAACUGCACAAACUUGAGUCCGUUGGCCUUUCGGGGGUCUCAGUUUUCACAGCAAUAAAUGCGGGGCGGGGGGAAUAAAAAUAAAUAAAUAAAUGCAG
This 984-nucleotide long non-coding RNA is filed under the name Canis lupus familiaris (dog). Its description in RNAcentral is "lncRNA (ENSCAFG00000048243.2, ENSCAFG00805013911.1, ENSCAFG00845010957.1)". Lineage: Eukaryota; Metazoa; Chordata; Mammalia; Carnivora; Canidae. The record is from RNAcentral.